UUUUUGAAUAAAUGAGAUCUUUAGAUUUAGUAUGUGAGAAGUGUUAAUCUCCAAAUUUUUUUGCUGGAAAUUAUCGUUUCACUCGUUUUAUACAUAUUUCGCGCUUUUGUUGAAUAAAUUGUUUUGUUAUGGAGAUUUGAUAUGGCUCAAAGUGUUUUUGUAGUUUAUGUAUUUGAUUUGUAUGAGUUCCUCAAGUGUUUUGCAUAUUCAUCUAGAUAUUAUCGUUUUGAGUGAUCACCUAUUCUAAUUCUUGAUGAAUUCUGUUUUUUUUUAAAAAAUUGAUUUUUUAAAUUUUUUAAUGUUGGCUUCAACUUGUUUUAUAAUAGAUUUAUGUUAGUAUUCGUAAUUUUCACAACGUUUCAAGUUUCUUUAUAUAGAUUUCUUUAAAAACUCAAAUUGUAUUUAAAUCCAGCAUAACUAUUUAAUUUCUUUUUAAAAGUUUAUAAGACAAAUAAGAUUAUAGCAUAUGCCAUUUUUUUUACCAGAUCAACAAGUUUAUUCGACUCUUAUAUUGCAACUGUUUUUCGUUUCAAUUUUGUAAAAUUUGUACAUUUAAUUAUUUUUUAUUCAUGUAUCGCCCACCUUACUUUUUAUAAUUAGACAUAAUGUUAUUCUAAAUUUUUUUUUGAUAAUUGGGGGAGGGGGGAGCGCUUGUGGGAGGAAUUGAACCCACGACCUAGCAGUUUGCUGCUCAGCGCUUAUACCAUUUGAGCUACAGCUCGUUGGUAAUGUUAUUCUAAAUUUAUUAUCUAUAAAAAAUUGGUCCACCUUUAAGAUAAUUUUCAGCUUCGACCGGUUAUAUUUAAUAUUGGAUUGUGAAUUGAAAUUGUUUUUGCAUUUUGAUUCAAUUAUUCAGCAAUCAGUCAAAUAUUGAAAAGGCAAUUGCAUACAAAUUUGUUAUCAUUCCCGAGUCAGAAACCAGGUCGCACUAUAACUCAGAAUGAAUAAGAAAUUUGGAGCAGGGAAGCAGCCAACCGGCACUCCUUCACUAGCCUGGUCAUGCGUUGUCGUUGUCGCUUCACUUCUUGCCGGCGCCUCCGUCGUCCAUAAUAUCUAUAAACCUGACCUUAAAUUGCCUCCAGUGGAUAGCGUUGAUGCUGCCAAGAAGUUGCAUAACGAAUCUAGCAAGAAUUGAAUUCUUUUUUAGUGCUAUUAUACAACUUCAACAAAACGAUUUCUAUUUGCUUUUGGUUGUAAUUUUUGUUUAUUUGCCUUCUCAUCUCUAUUGAUGAUCUUUUUAUUUUCUACUGGAUAACAGACUUGUUCAAUAAGAGUAAAUAUUUGAGUUUCUGCCA
Molecule: long non-coding RNA, 1295 nt
Organism: Mercurialis annua (annual mercury)
Lineage: Eukaryota; Viridiplantae; Streptophyta; Magnoliopsida; Malpighiales; Euphorbiaceae
Exons: 2
Source: RefSeq, a predicted model, not a curated record